GGUAACGCUUGUGCUGGCGCCGCGUUAAGACGGCUUGUGCGAACUUUAACAUGAAUUACUGGGUGUACAGUGUGCGGAUGCGGCGAAUUAAUUUGGUGUGGGAAUGCCUGGGGUUAACCUGGGAGCUGCGUUGAAUACUGAGUUGCCAGAGUGCAGUAGAGGAUGUGGGAAUUUACGGUGUAGCGGUGAAAUGCGUAGAUAUCGGAAGGAACACCAGUGGCGAAGGCGGCUAUCUGGACUGACACUGACGCUGAGGCGCGAAAGCGUGGGGAGCAAACAGGAUUAGAUACCCUAGUAGUC
Molecule: ribosomal RNA, 300 nt
Filed under: uncultured Methanocaldococcus sp.
Lineage: Archaea; Methanobacteriati; Methanobacteriota; Methanococci; Methanococcales; Methanocaldococcaceae
Description: bacterial SSU rRNA
Rfam family: Bacterial small subunit ribosomal RNA
Source: RNAcentral